GAUGAACGCUGGCGGCGUGCCUAAUACAUGCAAGUCGAGCGAACAGACGAGGAGCUUGCUCCUUUGACGUUAGCGGCGGACGGGUGAGUAACACGUGGGUAACCUACCUAUAAGACUGGGAUAACUUCGGGAAACCGGAGCUAAUACCGGAUAAUAUUUCGAACCGCAUGGUUCGAUAGUGAAAGAUGGCUUUGCUAUCACUUAUAGAUGGACCUGCGCCGUAUUAGCUAGUUGGUAAGGUAACGGCUUACCAAGGCAACGAUACGUAGCCGACCUGAGAGGGGGAAGGGCCAGAAGGGAACGGAGACGGGGGCGGGGCGACACGGGGAGGCACCUGAGAGGAAUGUUGGCAAAUGGGGGAAAGCUGAACGGGAAAAAGCGGCGAGAAGAAAGAGGGUUUUUUGAUGGUAAGAUUCGUUGAUAAGGGAAGAAGGAACGGGUAAUGAACAGUUCGCAACGUGAGGGUAUCUGAUCAGGAAGGCGCGGCUAAAUACGUG
This 497-nucleotide ribosomal RNA is filed under the name uncultured bacterium. RNAcentral describes it as "partial 16S ribosomal RNA". It matches the Rfam family "Bacterial small subunit ribosomal RNA", at positions 28 to 507 of the family's 1533-position model. The record is from RNAcentral.